RNAcentral lists this ribosomal RNA (157 nucleotides) under Alternaria atra. Its description in RNAcentral is "5.8S ribosomal RNA". It matches the Rfam family "5.8S ribosomal RNA". Rfam says of the family: 5.8S ribosomal RNA (5.8S rRNA) is a component of the large subunit of the eukaryotic ribosome. It is transcribed by RNA polymerase I as part of the 45S precursor that also contains 18S and 28S rRNA. Lineage: Eukaryota; Fungi; Ascomycota; Dothideomycetes; Pleosporales; Pleosporaceae. RNAcentral also lists the same sequence under 5 other names. The record is from RNAcentral.
UACAACUUUUAACAACGGAUCUCUUGGUUCUGGCAUCGAUGAAGAACGCAGCGAAAUGCGAUAAGUAGUGUGAAUUGCAGAAUUCAGUGAAUCAUCGAAUCUUUGAACGCACAUUGCGCCCUUUGGUAUUCCAAAGGGCAUGCCUGUUCGAGCGUCA